RNAcentral lists this non-coding RNA (210 nucleotides) under Gracilibacillus halophilus. RNAcentral's name for it is "T-box sequence". It matches the Rfam family "T-box leader". Rfam says of the family: Uncharged tRNA acts as the effector for transcription antitermination of genes in the T-box leader family. T-boxes are found upstream of many aminoacyl-tRNA synthetase genes and some amino acid biosynthetic genes usually in Gram-positive bacteria. Lineage: Bacteria; Bacillati; Bacillota; Bacilli; Caryophanales; Bacillaceae. The record is from RNAcentral.
CUAAUAACAAUGAUGAGGCUAAGUAAUAAAGCAAUCAGGUGAAGAGAGGUGACGGUUGGUGUGAGUCACUCCUGACCUUUAUGAACUCACCUCUGAUGUUGCAGGAGUGAAUAUAAUAGCUUUUGCCGUUAUCCGCGUUAAGGAGAUGAAGUGAGUGUUUAGUAUACACUAAAUUUGGGUGGUACCGCGGGAAUCUCUCUCGUCCCAUGA